RNAcentral lists this ribosomal RNA (676 nucleotides) under marine metagenome. RNAcentral describes it as "bacterial SSU rRNA". It matches the Rfam family "Archaeal small subunit ribosomal RNA", at positions 787 to 1467 of the family's 1478-position model. The record is from RNAcentral.
AUGGGCCCCCGGUGCCGGAGUGAAGAUGUUAAGUUCACUGCCUGGGGAGUACGGUCGCAAGGCUGAAACUUAAAGGAAUUGGCGGGGGAGCACUGCAACGGGAGGAGCGUGCGGUUUAAUUGGAUUCAACGCCGGAAAACUCACCAGGGCCGACUGUUAGAUGAAGACCAGUGUAACGAACUUGUCGGAUUUUCAGAGAGGUGGUGCAUGGCCGUCGUCAGUUCGUACUGUAAAGCGUUCUGUUAAGUCAGAUAACGAACGAGACCCUCAUCUCUAUUUGCUACCUGUCUCUCCGGAGACGGCGCACUAUAGGGAGACCGCUGGUGUUAAACCAGAGGAAGGCGAGGGCAACGACAGGUCAGUAUGCCCCGAAUGUCCUGGGCUACACGCGCGCUACAAAGGACGGGACAAUGGGAAGCUAGGUCGAGAGGCCGCGCUAACCCGAAACCCGUUCGUAGUUCGGAUUGAGGGCUGUAACUCGCCCUCAUGAAGCUGGAUUCCGUAGUAAUCGUGUUUCAACAUAGCACGGUGAAUAUGCCCCUGCUCCUUGCACACACCGCCCGUCAAACCAUCUUAGUUGGGGGUGGGUGAGGCUGCGCUUUAUGGCGUAUUCGAGCCUGCCUUCGACAAGGAGGGUUAAGUCGUAACAAGGUAUCUGUAGGGGAACCUGCAGAUG